RNAcentral lists this transfer RNA (73 nucleotides) under Salmo salar (Atlantic salmon). It matches the Rfam family "tRNA". From Rfam's summary of the family: Transfer RNA (tRNA) molecules are approximately 80 nucleotides in length. The record is from Rfam by way of RNAcentral. Lineage: Eukaryota; Metazoa; Chordata; Actinopteri; Salmoniformes; Salmonidae.
CUCCCUGUGGCUCAGUUGGUAGAGCAUGGUGUUUGCAACGCCAGGGUUGUGGGGGUCGAUUCCCACGGGGGGC